AGUGAACGCUGGCGGUAGGUCUAACACAUGCAAGUCGAACGGCAGCACAGUAAGAGCUUGCUCUUACGGGUGGCGAGUGGCGGACGGGUGAGGAAUACAUCGGAAUCUACUUUUUCGUGGGGGAUAACGUAGGGAAACUUACGCUAAUACCGCAUACGACCUACGGGUGAAAGCAGGGGAUCUUCGGACCUUGCGCGAUUGAAUGAGCCGAUGUCGGAUUAGCUAGUUGGCGGGGUAAAGGCCCACCAAGGCGACGAUCCGUAGCUGGUCUGAGUGGAUGAUCAGCCACACUGGAACUGUGACGCGGUCCAGACUCUUACGGGAGGCAGCAGUGGGGAAUAUUGGACAAUGGGCGCAAGCCUGAUCCAGCCAUACCGCGUGGGUGAAGAAGGCCGUCGGGUUGUAAAGCCCUUUUGUUGGGAAAGAAAAGCAGCAGGUUAAUACCCCGCUGUUCUGUCGGUACCCAAAGAAUAAGCACCGGCUAACUUCGUG
RNAcentral lists this ribosomal RNA (492 nucleotides) under uncultured bacterium. RNAcentral's name for it is "partial 16S ribosomal RNA". It matches the Rfam family "Bacterial small subunit ribosomal RNA", at positions 29 to 507 of the family's 1533-position model. The record is from RNAcentral.